GCAUCGGUAGUUCAGUAGUGAAAUACUCGCCUGCCACGCGGGCUGCCAGGGUUCGAUUCCCGGCCGAUGCA
RNAcentral lists this transfer RNA (71 nucleotides) under Cordylochernes scorpioides. RNAcentral's name for it is "tRNA-Gly". It matches the Rfam family "tRNA". Rfam says of the family: Transfer RNA (tRNA) molecules are approximately 80 nucleotides in length. Their secondary structure includes four short double-helical elements and three loops (D, anti-codon, and T loops). The record is from RNAcentral. Lineage: Eukaryota; Metazoa; Arthropoda; Arachnida; Pseudoscorpiones; Chernetidae.